GCCCGCCCGCCCUGCGCCCGAAUGGCCGCUCGCCGGCAGCUGGUGCCUCUGCUGCGGGGCUCUCCGGGGGUAGGGUGGCCGCCUCGGCUGAACGGGAAGCCAUUGGCACUAUAGAAGGCAACUACCAAGUACAAAGUUGUUCUACGCUAUUUGAUAUCCCCAGCUGUUGAAGACACCAGUAAUGCCAAACUUCGUGCCAAUUCAUGAAAACCCAAAAUCUCUGUGAACUCUUGUGUCCAUCCUCAGCCCCUUAAGCACUCAAUUCCUCUCCUAACUUUCAGAAUGUAACUUUCUCUGAAGUCAGUCAAAUCAACAAUGAAGUGACGUGCACCAAGAGAGGUGCAUGAAAACAUGUUUGCAGAAUUGGGGCUUAAAGCAUUCAUCGAUAACACCCCCUCAUUAAGCAGAGGAGAUGGGUGAGUUCAUUUGCGUACAUGAGCAUGUGAAACGUCCGUGUUUAGAUGUGGUCCUUCAGCAAAAUCUGGUCUUGCUAGUUACACACACAACUAUUCCUUAAUCAUGGAUUUUUCUUUUUACUUAAUUAUUACAACCUGUUGCUACGACUAAACAAGACUGAGUAGAUACUUUUGUGUACUCAGCACCUUCACAGUACUUGCCAUCUAACCUAAAAAAGGUGAAAUGCUGAUUUCUAGGAAAAAAAAAGUUGUUAAGGUGGAGAAAAACCCUUCUAAGAUAAUGUGUUUAUUAGCUGCAUGUCAGCCUCUUUUUCUCUAGCUUCACAGAUAAUGAAGUAUAGCACAUCUGGUACCUUAGAAUAAACAAUUAUAAUCUGGGCUGCUAGGGUUCUCCUAAGGAUGCACAGUGUCUCACUGUUUGAUUCUGCUGGUGGCAGUCUUGGUGAUUUACUAGUUAGUUGCUUUGGGUUUUUUAGGGUUUUCUUUCUCAGAUAGGUGAGAUCACACACAGAGAUGCAAAGCCUUUCCAAAUUACUACAGCGCAGAUUCCCAUCCCUUUGGCAGGAACAAAAAGUCUAAAUGAAAAGUAGAGUAUUCGAGAUGUUCUUUGUAUGGGCAAAUGUAAACCUCAGGCCUGGGGUCAUACGCGGCAGUUAGAACCUGUGUGGUCCUAAAAUUGCUCUCAAACAAUCCUUGUUCAAUUGGAAGAAUUUUCAGGCCAUAUUUAGUGCCCGUUUCUAGAACUCAGAUCCUCACAAAUGAAGGCUUACUUUGCAGUAAAUUUUACAAGGUGUAAAUACAGUAAUGCCUUCUCAAGUUGUCUGUCACUUGGGAGAGCAGUGAGGUUGGUAUAAAUGAAUUAACAACAUCUAGUGAUGAUCACAAUGCAGUGCAGACCUGCGUAUAAAUAACUGCUUACCACUGAGCAGUGUGCAGGUGGGGCAGAGAAUUUAAUUGGUUUUGAGGAAUGGGGUUACAGUGAACUUUACUUAGGGAGUCAAGAAAAAAACAACAGGGUAGAAGGUUAGUGAAAAGAGGAAAUUGCCAUUCAUAUAAUCUUGAAACUUUGUGAAUAACUGAAAAUAUUUGUAAUCAUGUUGCUAUGACACCCAGUAAUAACUGGGAGCCUUCAUUUUGAGUUAGCAGGUAUAUUGACAUAUGUAGAAAAAAUGCAAAUAUUUAGGUUAUUUUUAAAAUUGUUCUCUCCGUGUUGUAUAAAUUUCACAUAAUACAAUAGGCAGCUUAGGGACCAAGACCAGAAAUGGUCCCUAAACCAAAUGAUCUCUUUUCACCCUUCUGUCCUAUGCUAGUAACCCUUGUAUGCCCUUGCCAGCAUCAAACAAAUAUGAAGAUACAGCUGGAGAGGUGAAGCAAUUCCUUGUGAAAGAUAGCAAUUCCUUGUGAAUUUUAUGAAAGUAGGAAGACAAAAGAAAAAAAAUGUUGCUGGUAAUCCCACUAGGAGGAGGACUCCAUGACUUCAACACUUUAUUAGACAUCAAAGAACCUUCACUGGGCCAUAUCCUCAAGACCAAAGUAAUUGGAAACCAAUGCAUUUUGUUACACUGCUUGCAGAAUUCUUUUUCUUUGUUUCUGCCUUCUCCUACUCUGUUGUUUGUUUGUUUUAAUUUUACCCUUCUCUCGGAAUAUCAUUAAAGAACUGGCACAAGUGGAAGAAAACACAGCUAAAAGAUGCUUUUAGGCUCAAUGCAAGUAAAAUGCCACUCAGUUUCUUGAAAGGGCUGGAACUUCUGUUCUGUGAACCUUGUGCUGUGUCUGUGAGAUGCAACAACAGAGUGGAGCAUAGUUGGCUCAAACAAACGUUCAUGAAUGUUGCAUUCAACAUCCUCUUUCAGGUGUUGUAGACCAGGAAUCUUGCUUCAGUCUGAAGUUGCAGCAAGUCGGUCUGGCAAACUAUUAUGUUUUGACAGUUUUUGUUGCUCAGCAAGUGGCCUGCCACAUCCUGGGAAAGCUGCAGUUUUCAUGACACCUCUCUUUCUGGCUCCUCUUAGGAAGACGCUUUUGAAGUCUCCUUGCUCAGGAGAUGGCAGUGAACAAAACCAUUGUUUUCUGUUGUCAUAUCUAUAAAGAUUUAGGUUGUUCCCCUAAGUCAUUCUAGCUCCUACAAGGACUGCUGCAGAAAUCCCUGAGUAUCCCUAUAGGUGCUGGAAAAGCCAUCCAAACUGGCUACUCCAGAACCCUGGCUUUAGACUUGGCUUCUUUGUGCUCCCUCUGUACCAAGGGAUAUCUUCCAGGAGAAGCUAUAAUAAAAAUUGUCCUUCUUUUAUAGCAUUCUCAAAUUCCCAAAGGAGGCAACUUAAUCCUCUGAAUCAGAGCUGGAACAAGACACCUAAGUGCCAGAGGAGCUUUGUCUCCUCAAGCUAGCCACACCCCAUGGAGAUUCUUGCAUCUUCCAGGUGCUUCCCCAACCCAAUGACCUUCCAGUGUUCACUCCUGUCCUUCAGGAUUUUCCACUUGGCCAUUAUUGCCACUGUAACUGGGUUCUGGACCGCAGCCUGCACCGCUCUGUGUGCAUAUCCUCCAUUUGGCACGUGUCUUGGAAGACAUCCUUGGAGAAGCACCACGGGUGAUCCGGCCUAGCAUGCUUCUGCUUUCCGCUUCCCUGGGUAGAACAGUACUUCAGCACUUGUGCUCUGGAGUUCAAGGCUGUCGCUAAAAUGUAUUUAUUUUUCUCUGCUAGAUUAUUUAUUUUGAGAAGUAUGGCACAGGGACUCUUUAUUCAUACAGUUUUUCAAAGCCACAUAUACCAUUAAACAUAAGACAAUGCCAUUAAAACCACCUAGAUAAAAACCUAAAAGUUUUUUGGAGAGCAUGGGAGGGGGACAGAGAGGAGAAAAGUAGAGAAGAGAAAAUGGAUCCAGAAAAACUAGCUUUCCACAGUGCUACAUGUAUACUUUGUCAAAACUUGUAGAGGGUUUAAGCAAUUUUUUUUUUUUUUAAAUAAAGGUUUGAUGGGAAAAAACAUUCUGCUUUCAUCCCAAGUAUUGUAAUUAAUGAAGUCAUGCAUCCUUAUUUAGACAGCUGCCCUCCCUGACUCUAUCUGGUAUUUUUCUUUUGCUAGGCUGUAAGAUUUAGAUGCAAUGUAUUUGGAAGUAAUUUAGAUUUAUAUUUUUGUUCAAAUUAAAUUGAAAUUUUUCAUUAGGCUCA
Long non-coding RNA from Grus americana (Whooping crane), 3581 nucleotides. RefSeq lists it as uncharacterized. The transcript has 2 exons. NCBI's taxonomy places the organism in Eukaryota, Metazoa, Chordata, Aves, Gruiformes, Gruidae. The record is from RefSeq and is a predicted model, not a curated record.